RNAcentral lists this ribosomal RNA (500 nucleotides) under uncultured Flavobacteriaceae bacterium. RNAcentral describes it as "bacterial SSU rRNA". It matches the Rfam family "Bacterial small subunit ribosomal RNA", at positions 8 to 506 of the family's 1533-position model. The record is from RNAcentral. Lineage: Bacteria; Pseudomonadati; Bacteroidota; Flavobacteriia; Flavobacteriales; Flavobacteriaceae.
AGGCUUUGAUCCUGGCUCAGGAUGAACGCUAGCGGCAGGCCUAACACAUGCAAGUCGAGGGGUAGAGGAAGCUUGCUUCCUUGAGACCGGCGCACGGGUGCGUAACGCGUAUGCAAUCUACCUUGUACAGGGGAAUAGCCCAGAGAAAUUUGGAUUAAUGCCCCAUGGUAUAUAGUUUUCGCAUGAUUACUAUAUUAAAGAUUUAUCGGUACAAGAUGAGCAUGCGUCCCAUUAGUUAGUUGGUGUGGUAACGGCACACCAAGACGAUGAUGGGUAGGGGUCCUGAGAGGGAGAUCCCCCACACUGGUACUGAGACACGGACCAGACUCCUACGGGAGGCAGCAGUGAGGAAUAUUGGGCAAUGGGCGAGAGCCUGACCCAGCCAUGCCGCGUGCAGGAAGACGGUCCUAUGGAUUGUAAACUGCUUUUAUACGGGAAGAAACACUCCGACGCGUCGGAAGCUUGACGGUACCGUAGUAAUAAGGAUCGGCGUACAUCCG